Dendrobium catenatum is the source of this 1533-nucleotide RNA transcript. It is a transcript of the gene named putative elongation factor TypA-like SVR3, chloroplastic, with no coding region annotated. The transcript is spliced from 5 exons. The record is from RefSeq and is a predicted model, not a curated record. Lineage: Eukaryota; Viridiplantae; Streptophyta; Magnoliopsida; Asparagales; Orchidaceae.
UUCUAUUCUGCAUAGUCUGUGUUUCAAAAUCAUCAUAGAAAUCUUGUAAUACUUGAAAAUCAUGUUAACCAUGCAUAUUUUUUUGUUUUAUAAUUUUGAAAGACUCUCCCCAUACUUUCCAAGUAAUUUCUGUGUAAAAAAAUCACAAUUUAAAUGUUCCUUUCGUAAAUCAUCUAAAGGUCAUAGUAUUGAUCUAAUUAAUUGAAUUUGAAAUGCAAUUUAAUGUUAAUUAUGGAAAUAAUUUUCCUUUCUAAAAUCUUUGCUUAUUUUUAAUUCCAAUAAUGAAAUUUUUUCUAGAAAUUUUUUGUGACAGUUUUAUUUCUGUAGAUUGUGAAGAGAAUGCUCCAUUGUUUCCUGCUAAUGUUUUAUCCAUUGAUCCUUAAUAUUGCUAUAAUCCUUGUGGUGUUCAUCUCUGUGUCCGCUAUUGCAAUUUUCAUUUUAUAACUUUCUAGAAUCAACUUUAUGAUCCUGGCUUUUUCUUUUUGGGAACCUUAUCAUACAAAACGUUCUUAUGAUAUUCAUUUCAUUUAUCUAGCUUAGGAAAGCUGUUCCCUUAUUGGCUUAUAAAGCUCAAGGAGAGUAAAAAUUUGAGAUUUAUGUCAAGUAAGCGAUUCUUCUCGAUCUGCAUACCAAGAUCAAAGACCAGACUCCCAAAUUGGAUUGGAGAAACAAAUGGUUAGAGAUCCAAUUGAUAAUAAAGAAGUUGGCUAUGACGAGAUCAAUCAUCCCUCAACAUUUGAGGGACUUGAAGAGAAAUUCCUUGAAUACAUUAUGAAACUGACCAAAGAACAAGAAGAAGCUGAUUUCAAGGAAAAUACUCAGCAUAGAGGUUGGUUUUUUCCUUUACUAAAGCGCAGUGCAAAGCUUAUGAUUUGCUCGAAGAAGGCGGGAAAUGGAAAUUAUCUCUAUCUAGAUAAGGACUUGGAAAAUAUCAUCCAUGCUUGGUCAAAUCAGCUUCCCUUCCCAUCUUCUAUUUAAUGCUUUUGUAAUGGAAGGAUCGGCAUUUGGAAGGAGGGAAGAGUGCAUAUGGAUACGGACAACUUUAUGUAGAAAAUAUCCAGUUUUUAGUUCAUGAAAAUUCUGUGAUUGUAGGUUUGCACAUCAGAUUAAACAUGUAGACUGGCAAAAGUCAGUGAACUUUUUGUUUAUCAGAACUUCAGCAGGGUCCCAACUGAGAAUGUGGAGGCUGGAGAUAUUUGUUCCAUUUGUUGAAUAAAUGAUAUAAUGAUUGGAGAAACAAUAGCUGAUAAAAGCUCUGGGAACGCACUGCCCACCAUCAAAGUGGAGGAACUGACAGUAAAAAUGUCUUUCUCCAUCAAUAUUUCUUCCUUUGUUGGUCAGGAGGUUGUACAAGCUACAAUGAACAAGGAUGUUGGUUAUGAUUUUGCUGUUGAUAUUUGGAGCAUGGGUUUUACUAUCAUUGUAUUGUUUACUGGAAAACAUCCUUGGAGUGGACUUGAGGUGGUAAUCCUUCUCGACUAUGAACACAAAAUUUUAAUUUCUAGUGAAAUCGCUUGGUUCAUGCAACUUCAA